AGUGAACGCUGGCGGUAGGCCUAACACAUGCAAGUCGAACGGCAGCACAGUAAGGGCUUGCUCUUACGGGUGGCGAGUGGCGGACGGGUGAGGAAUACAUCGGAAUCUACUUUUUCGUGGGGGAUAACGUAGGGAAACUUACGCUAAUACCGCAUACGACCUACGGGUGAAAGCAGGGGAUCUUCGGACCUUGCGCGAUUGAAUGAGCCGAUGUCGGAUUAGCUAGUUGGCGGGGUAAAGGCCCACCAAGGCGACGAUCCGUAGCUGGUCUGAGAGGAUGAUCAGCCACACGGGAACUGAGACACGGUCCAGACUCCUACGGGAGGCAGCAGUGGGGAAUAUUGGACAAUGGGCGCAAGCCGGAUCCAGCCAUACCGCGUGGGUGAAGAAGGCCUUCGGGUGGUAAAGCCCUUUUGUUGGGAAAGAAAAGCAGCAGGUUAAUACCCCGCUGUUCUGACGGUACCCAAAGAAUAAGCACCGGCUAACUUCGUG
Molecule: ribosomal RNA, 492 nt
Filed under: uncultured bacterium
Lineage: Bacteria
Description: partial 16S ribosomal RNA
Rfam family: Bacterial small subunit ribosomal RNA
Source: RNAcentral